GAUGAACGCUAGCUACAGGCUUAACACAUGCAAGUCGAGGGCAGCACAGUGUAGCAAUACAUGGGUGGCGACCGACGCACGGUGCGUAACGCGUAUCCAACCUUCCCGUUACUCAGGGAUAGCCUUCCGAAAGGGAGAUUAAUACCUGAUGGUGUUUGAAUUCCGCAUGUUAUUCAAACUAAAGAUUUAUCGGUAACGGAUGGGGAUGCGUGACAUUAGGUAGAUGGCGGGGUAACGGCCACCAUGCCUACGAUGUCUAGGGGUUCUGAGAGGAAGGUCCCCCACACUGGAACUGAGACACGGUCCAGACUCCUACGGGAGGCAGCAGUGAGGAAUAUUGGUCCAAUGGUCGGAAGACUGAACCAGCCAAGUUAGCGUGAAGGAUGAAGGUUCCUAUGGAUUGUAAACCUUCUUUAUACGGGAAUAAACCACCUACGUGUAGGUGCUUGUAUGUACCGUAUGAAUAAGCCAUCGGCUAACUCCGUGCCAGCAGCCGUCGGU
RNAcentral lists this ribosomal RNA (501 nucleotides) under uncultured bacterium. RNAcentral describes it as "bacterial SSU rRNA". It matches the Rfam family "Bacterial small subunit ribosomal RNA", at positions 28 to 521 of the family's 1533-position model. The record is from RNAcentral.